UCUAUAUUCUGUUCCAGACACUUUCUCAACUUGCUAAGAGGGAAUUUCUCAGGGAAACACUGGAAUACUUUCUUUUCCUUUUCAAGAUGAAAAAAUGUUGGCUAACGGCAGUUUGAAUCCCAAAAUAGAAGUGGAGCUUGUAUCUGAACAGAUGCACGUGUGCGUCGUUUCAGCUACUUUACCACAAGAAAAAGCUCACGUGCUCGUACGUACACGCACUGGAACACACUCACAUGCACACAGACACACAUUGACGGGGGAACAAUAGACGUAGAGGGGACACCUGCUCGCCUGAUACAGCCUCCUCCUCCUCCUCCUCCUCCUUCUCCUCCUCCUCCUCCUCUUCAUCCUCUCUCCCCCAUUAGGAUUCAGUUCAGGGUUCGUCUCCGUCUCCGUGAGUAGGUUAGCCAUGCGUGUCAUGGCGGAAUCCAGUGAAUGAUAAUGAACUAAGCAAGUGUGUGUGUGUGUGUAAGGGAGGAGGUGGCGUGCUUGCUGUAUCACUCCCUCCAUCCAUCCAUCUAUUCCUCCUCCACCGCUUCCUCGUUGGCGGUGUGUCGGCUGGAAGGACGGCCCCCGUGCUCUGACACACUCGCAUACACGCAGACACACACCUCCGCGAUGUGUCACUACCCAUUCCACCUGCCUCUCUUCCCGUCAUUCCCCGCUCUCCGCUCCAUCUACCUACGCUUGCUCUUUUCCCUCCUUUUUUUUUUUUGUGCUCUCUCUCAGUCUUUCUCUCCAGCCCUCCUUGUCCUCAACCUCCCCCCCACCCCACCCCUACGCUGUGUGUCACCGCUGCCGGGGAAGAAAGAAAAAUGCUCCGGCCGACAAAAGUGAGAAGAGAAAAAGGGAGAAAAGAGUCAAAGAGGAGAAGAUAGCGAAAGCUGGAGUGUGAUUGGAGCGCAGCGAUGCCUCCGUCCACCUUGAGCCAGACUCUUCUUUGAUGGAAUACACCCCGGACAGCGGAGGGCAGCAGGAGGGAGAAGAAGAAGAAGAAGAAGAAAAAGUAGAGGACUGACAGAAGAGGACUGAGAAGGCAGGAGGACCAGCGCUCGCCUCAGGAGGCUCCAUCCAGUCCAGUCUCAUUGUCCUCACACACACACCUCGCCUCCCUCCGAGUGUGAGCGUGCACGCGAGUUGUGUGUGCAUGUGUCUGCUGUGUGAGGACGGCCAUUUCUACGCCACAGCAGUGCAGCGGAGCGCCAGGUUCCACUCUGAGGUUAACGUGGAUGCGGUGCGUCCGAUAGGCCAUGCCCUUCACCUGCGCCUGCUUCUGUGGCCUGAACGGCUUCUGCCGCCCACGCAAGAAGAAGAAAAAGGAGCAAGUGGAGGAAGGGCAGGGUGAGGUUGAGGAGGCGGAGCGAUGGAGGGAUCAGGAGACAGUGGUGUGACGAGGGCUGCGGCUCUCCUCACCUCCAACGGGGGUUUUAUCCUUUAACAGACUGGGAUGCUCAUAUACAGACUGUCUGGUAUUAUGCAUGACGGGGAUACAAUAACAGGGAUGGUAACGGGGCUUCAGGAGAAACAGGCUUUUAUUAAUAAUCCAGAAUUCAUUUUUGAACCAGA
Long non-coding RNA from Sebastes umbrosus (honeycomb rockfish), 1566 nucleotides. RefSeq lists it as uncharacterized. Lineage: Eukaryota; Metazoa; Chordata; Actinopteri; Perciformes; Sebastidae. The record is from RefSeq and is a predicted model, not a curated record. The transcript is spliced from 3 exons.